UAACAAGGUUUCCGUAGGUGAACCUGCGGAAGGAUCAUUAUCGAGUUUUGAACGGGUUGUAGCUGGCCUCUCACGAGGCAUGUGCACGCCUGGCUCAUCCACUCUUAACCUCUGUGCACUUUAUGUAAGAGAAAAAAAUGGUGGAAGCUUCCAGGAUCUCGCGAGAGGUCUUCGGUUGAACAAGCCGUUUUUCUUUCUUAUGUUUUACUACAAACGCUUCAGUUAUAGAAUGUCAACUGUGUAUAACACAUUUAUAUACAACUUUCAGCAACGGAUCUCUUGGCUCUCGCAUCGAUGAAGAACGCAGCGAAAUGCGAUAAGUAAUGUGAAUUGCAGAAUUCAGUGAAUCAUCGAAUCUUUGAACGCACCUUGCACUCCUUGGUAUUCCGAGGAGUAUGCCUGUUUGAGUCUCAUGGUAUUCUCAACCCCUAAAUUUUUGUAAUGAAGGUUUAGCGGGCUUGGACUUGGAGGUUGUGUCGGCCCUUGUCGGUCGACUCCUCUGAAAUGCAUUAGCGUGAAUCUUACGGAUCGCCUUCAGUGUGAUAAUUAUCUGCGCUGUGGUGUUGAAGUAUUUAUGGUGUUCAUGCUUCGAACCGUCUCCUUGCCGAGACAAUCAUUUGACAAUCUGAGCUCAAAUCAGGUAGGACUACCCGCUGAACUUAA
This 663-nucleotide ribosomal RNA is filed under the name Irpex lacteus. RNAcentral describes it as "eukaryotic LSU rRNA". The stretch from base 260 to 413 matches the Rfam family "5.8S ribosomal RNA". The record is from RNAcentral. Lineage: Eukaryota; Fungi; Basidiomycota; Agaricomycetes; Polyporales; Irpicaceae.